CACUGUUUCGCCGAUUCCUUCUCCCACUUCCCCAGAUCCACCGCACUGCCCCUCUCCCUUCUUCUCCUCUUCAUCACCGUCAACCACCGACAACGAGAUGUCGAUUACCGCCGGCCCCUUUCCGGUCACCCUUGCCUCCCCUUUGUCGAAGAUUUCGAUGCAGGAAGCUCGAAGUGGACUCCCUCUCGUGCCCUAGUCUCGAGUCACAACCACCUCUUCAUCGUCGGCCCUCUCCGGCCAUGAGCAAGAAGGUGUCGGAGAACAUUGAUGACAUCCGCGUCUAUUUCCCGAGGCCUUCACAGCGAAUAAUCGGCUGCCACAGCAUCCUCUACUCGGUAUCGCCAUUGCCAAAAGGGCUGAGAAGACGCCGGAGAUCUGUGUUUGUCUCUUUCCCCACACUUGCAUCCCCAUGCAGCAACUGCUGCUGCCAUAAGCGAAGUCAUCGCUGCAUGUUCUUCCUCCCAAAGUCGAUCCUUCUCUGCUUCGGCAGCCGCAGCCACCACAGCCAGCCACAACUGUGGCCAGCUUCGCGACCACUGGCAACCCUCAUUUGAUCUCAUCACCAGUCACCUGCCAUGAGGAAUCCACCACUGUCGAAGGAGGAGCUAACAGACAGGGGUUUAUGAGGCAAAAUCUAUGUCGGAGGAGAAUGAAAAGAAGAUUAGAUUGAGAAGAAAUUUGUUAGUUUAAGGUUUUUUUGUAGUUUUUUGUGAACUUAACUUGUUGGAUGUAUAUUUUGUCAUGACUUGUAUGGAUUUUUAUGAUACUUUGUUGUAUGGUACAAUAAAUUUUGUUGUAUGGAA
Zingiber officinale is the source of this 803-nucleotide long non-coding RNA. RefSeq lists it as uncharacterized. The transcript has 3 exons. The record is from RefSeq and is a predicted model, not a curated record. Lineage: Eukaryota; Viridiplantae; Streptophyta; Magnoliopsida; Zingiberales; Zingiberaceae.